This is a non-coding RNA of Brachypodium distachyon (stiff brome), 123 nucleotides long. The record is from Rfam. Lineage: Eukaryota; Viridiplantae; Streptophyta; Magnoliopsida; Poales; Poaceae.
CUAUUACUCCCUCCGUCCCAUAUUAAUUGUCAAAAUAUUAUAUGUAUCUAGACGCUUUUUAGGCAUAGAUACAUUCAUAUUUGGACAAAUUUGACAGUUAAUAUGGGACGGAGGGAGUACAUC